GGGGGCUUCGGGCGGCACUCCCAACCCCU
RNAcentral lists this ribosomal RNA (29 nucleotides) under Fusarium thapsinum. RNAcentral's name for it is "partial 18S ribosomal RNA". The record is from RNAcentral. Lineage: Eukaryota; Fungi; Ascomycota; Sordariomycetes; Hypocreales; Nectriaceae.